GUUUUGACUUUGGAGCACAUUGGUGAAGGUAAAGUUUGGUGGGGAACAUGACCAACUAUAGUUGAGACUCUGAAAGAAAAAAGAAAAUUGUAAUAUAUAAAUAUUGAGAACACCAACACAAAUUUCAAACCUAUAAACUGGUUUACCUGAUUAGAUAAAGGCAAACUAGUCUGGACAUUGGUGGUUGACAAUCUCGUGGUUGGAUAGAACUACAAACAUUGAUACGAGACCCAACAUAAAUAAUUAAAUAAAUAUAUAAAAUAUACUUAAUCAAACAUAUAACUAGUUUACCUGAUUAGAUGAAGGGAAACGAGCAUGUGCAUUGGUGGUUAGCAAACUCAGUGUUGGAUAGAGCUACAAACAUUGAU
This 368-nucleotide long non-coding RNA is filed under the name Malus domestica (apple). RNAcentral describes it as "long non-coding RNA (MDOM_LNC002470)". The record is from RNAcentral. Lineage: Eukaryota; Viridiplantae; Streptophyta; Magnoliopsida; Rosales; Rosaceae.